Molecule: non-coding RNA, 1841 nt
Organism: Spodoptera litura
Lineage: Eukaryota; Metazoa; Arthropoda; Insecta; Lepidoptera; Noctuidae
Source: RefSeq, a predicted model, not a curated record
GUUUGUUGGUAUUGAAUAGGCUUAGAAACUACUGGACCGAUUUGAAAAACUCUUAUCAUUACAAAGCUUAGUUUUCAGGGAGUGACAGGUUUUUUAUCCUGGGAAAUAUGUUAGGUCCACGGAAGCUGAGCCGCGAGCAAAGUUUAUGUCACUAAUAUUUUAAUAUAAAUGUGCAAAUAUCUUCAUGUGUGUUUCUCACAAUUAAUUGUAAUAAAUUUGCAAUUUCAGGCACAUCUCUGCAAAGGAAUUCUGCAUCAAACUGGCUGUUAGAACAUAAUUAUAGUGUUUUAAGCAAGCCUCGAAGAACAAUUGGGAAAGGUAUUGUUCAGCUAUUAUUUAAAAUAUUUUUUGUUCUAUAGGCAGUGUGAUGGCAAUCAUUCGUUUUAAUACCUAUUUUAGAUAUUAAAACUGGAAAUUUCUUGUGAGUUUAAGUAGGCUUAAAAAUGUUUUCAACAGAUAUUCCCAACAACUUAAAGCUGACAAUAAACAACUACACAUUCUCAACAAUAGUAUAGAUAGUAGAUUUUAUCAAAUUUAUCAAAUAUAAAUUGUUUGUUGCACAAUAUCUCAUAAUGUAAAAGUUAACUUUUUACUUAUGUAGUUCGAAUUAUCACAUAUAAAUUAUCUUUUCACAGAUCUAAUGGGUCCAUUGCGCAAGAAGAUCAAGGAUCUCCAGGCGGAAGUAUCACGCCAACGCAAGAAGAACCAGUUUUUUAAAGCAAGAUUAAAUGGAGCGGAAGUGGUAUCCAGCAAAAUGGCUAUGGAUAAUUUCGCAAAGAUUUUAGAUAAACCGGCCCGAUUGUUUCUCCAAAUGCAACUGCAGGCAUCAAAGAAACCAAAAGGACGUCGCUUUACGCAUAAUGAAAAGGUGCUUUCUUUGUCACUAUACAAAAAAAGUCCUAAGGCAUAUAGUCUAUUAAGUAAACUUUUUACUUUGCGUUCAAGCAAAUGUAUGAAGCAUCUUUUGAGCACUGUAAAAAUACACCAAGGAAUUGUUCCUAUAGUGUACGAAAGAAUUAAAAAAACUAUGUCGGAAAAACAUGAAAAUGACCGGUUGUGUUCACUAAUAUUUGACGAGAUGUCCUUGACACCUCAAGUGAAUUAUAAUACUCAGCAAGAUAUUUUGGUAGGCCUUGCCAUCAAUAAAUAUAAAAAAAAAUACUGACCAUGUUUUGGUGUUUAUGGUCAAAGGAAUAAAACAAAACUUCAAACAGCCUAUAGCUUAUAAUUUUACAACCGGUCUAAACAAAGGAGAGCUAAAAAAUAUUAUUAUUGACGUCAUAAACCAUGCUCAAAGGUCGGGUCUUAUAAUAAUUAAUACGGUAUGUGACCAAAGCGCUGUAAAUGUUGGCGCCGUAACGGAAUUAAUUAAUGAGACCAAAUCAAAAUAUUUAACUAAGCUAAAAGAGUGGCGGUAUGACCAUUUUUUAAUAAAUGGAAAAGUUAUUAUUCCAUUAUUUGAUGUGCCUCAUUUGAUAAAAGGUAUAAGAAAUAAUUUAAUCACGAAAGAUUUGGUGUAUGAGUCCAACAACAUAGUAAAAACUGUUAAAUGGGAACACUUCCAAAAAGUAUAUGCCGCAGACAAAUCGUUUGGUGAACUAAGGCUAUUAGAUAAAUUAACCGAAGAACAUGUAAACCCUGAAAAAAUCAAUAAAAUGAGAGUGAAAUCGGCAACGCAAUUAUUUAGCCACAGCGUCGCUGUGGCUACGGAACAUUUAACAGCCAGAGGCGAUUUACCUUUCGAAUGUAAACAAAUAUUAGAAAUUACUUUGUUGUUGGACAACUUAUUUGAUUCUUUGAAUGUUAGCAGUUUUUUCAUUCCUAAUGGAAAAAUAUUAAAA